This 532-nucleotide ribosomal RNA is filed under the name Wickerhamiella pararugosa. RNAcentral describes it as "eukaryotic LSU rRNA". It matches the Rfam family "Eukaryotic large subunit ribosomal RNA", at positions 45 to 580 of the family's 3401-position model. The record is from RNAcentral. Lineage: Eukaryota; Fungi; Ascomycota; Dipodascomycetes; Dipodascales; Trichomonascaceae.
AAUAAGCGGAGGAAAAGAAACCAACAGGGAUUCCCUUAGUAACGGCGAGUGAACCGGGAAAAGCUCAAAUUUGAAAUCUGCCAACAGGCCGAGUUGUAAUUUGUAGAUGGCUACACUGCAUAAUAGUAGAUGCUCAAGUUCUUUGGAAAAAGACAUCAUGGAGGGUGACAAUCCCGUGAGGCAUGUUACUAGGAGCAUAUAGUGGGCUUUCUAAGAGUCGAGUUGUUUGGGAAUGCAGCUCAAAGUGCGUGGUGAAUACCAUGUAAAGCUAAAUAUGGACGAGAGACCGAUAGCGAACAAGUACUGUGAAGGAAAGAUGAAAAGCACUCCGAAAGGAGAGUGAAAUAGUACGUGAAAUUGUUAAAGUGGAAGGGCUUGAGAUCAGAAUUGGUAGUUUGGGUUCCACGUCCUCUUGGGGGCGUGUACUCCCUUUCCACCGGGCCAGCGGGAGUUUCGUCUCUUGGGUAAAAGCAGUGGAAUGUAGCAGCUUGUCUGUAUUAUAGCCUCUGUUCAUACAAGACGUCGAGACUUG